CCGAGUUAGGGUCCUCUGGGCCCGACCUCCCAACCCUUUGUCGUUACCACCUCAGUUGCUUCGGCGGGCCCUGCCUCGAGAGAGGCACGCCGGAGGGGCGUGAAACCCCUUCUGGUCAGUUGCUCGUCGGUAGCCCCAACCACAAAAUUCUGAAGUAAACGUGUCUUCUGAGUAACAAACAAAAAUAAAGCAA
This 193-nucleotide unclassified non-coding RNA is filed under the name soil metagenome. RNAcentral's name for it is "partial internal transcribed spacer 1". The record is from RNAcentral.